RNAcentral lists this unclassified non-coding RNA (299 nucleotides) under plant metagenome. RNAcentral describes it as "partial contains 5.8S ribosomal RNA, internal transcribed spacer 2, and large subunit ribosomal RNA". The stretch from base 1 to 105 matches the Rfam family "5.8S ribosomal RNA", at positions 50 to 154 of the family's 154-position model. The record is from RNAcentral.
GAAAUGCGAUAAGUAAUGUGAAUUGCAGAAUUCAGUGAAUCAUCGAAUCUUUGAACGCACAUUGCGCCCCCUGGCAUUCCGGGGGGCAUGCCUGUUCGAGCGUCAUUACACCACUCAAGCCUGGCUUGGUAUUGAGCGCCGCGGCCUGCCCGCGCGCUCCAAUGUCUCCGGCUGAGCCGUCCGUCUCUAAGCGUUGUGAAUAGCGAUCGCUUGCGAGGCCCGGGCGGGUCGACGCCGUUAAACCCCCCAUUUUCUAUGGUUGACCUCGGAUCAGGUAGGGAUACCCGCUGAACUUAAGC